Molecule: non-coding RNA, 426 nt
Organism: Paramuricea clavata
Lineage: Eukaryota; Metazoa; Cnidaria; Anthozoa; Malacalcyonacea; Plexauridae
Source: the annotation of a GenBank genome assembly
AAAAAAUAUGAAUUUUAAUUCGUCCAAAAACACUGUCCUACUUUUUAUUCCAAAGCCGAGAGGAAGGGGUACGCCUCAAAAAUGUUGGUGGGUGGAGCCGCCAGACUAGUGAUGAGAGUAACUAGUAAUGACAAUUUUGUAGUAAAAUCUUGGUAAAAAUUUUAGAGAUAAUAAUUGGUAAAAAAUCGAAUUUGAAUGGUAUCUUGUGUAACAGGAGAUGCCAACAGCGAUUAACGAAACUGACUAUAGCCUAUAUACAAAACCCGGACGUUAGUGCGUUUUCAGGAUAAGUUAAACUUAGCCGGGACAAUGUGAAGGCAAGGGGGGGGGCAGAUUUUCAUGAAAGGGCACUUUUGAAUUGAUAUAUACUAAGAGAUGUUUGCAAAACAUCGGGAGUUGAACUUCGCCUAAUCCUGUUUUCUAUUU